RNAcentral lists this ribosomal RNA (486 nucleotides) under uncultured bacterium. RNAcentral's name for it is "partial 16S ribosomal RNA". It matches the Rfam family "Bacterial small subunit ribosomal RNA", at positions 28 to 507 of the family's 1533-position model. The record is from RNAcentral.
GAUGAACGCUGGCGGCGUGCCUAAUACAUGCAAGUCGAACGCUGGAAAUCUAGCUUGCUAGAUUGAAGGAGUGGCGAACGGGUGAGUAAUACAUAAGCAACCUACCCACGAAGACUGGGAUAAUCUCUGGAAACGGGGACUAAUACCGGAAAGGUAAUCGGAAGGCAUCUUCUGAUUAUUAAAGGUUAAAAACACUGGUGGAUGGGCUUAUGGCGUAUUAGUUAGUUGGUGAGGUAACGGCCCAUCAAGACGAUGAUUCGUAGCCGGACUGAGAGGGUGAACGGCCACAUUGGGACUUAGACACGGCCCAGACUACUACGGGAGGCAGCAGUAGGGAAUUUUCGGCAAUGGGGGAAACCCUGACCGAGCAACGCCGCGUGAGUGAUGGCGGCCUUCGGGUUGUAAAGCUCUGUUGUAAGGGAAGAACGGUAGAUAGAGAAUAUCUAAAUGACGGUACCUUACCAGAAAGCCACGGCUAACUACGUG